Molecule: long non-coding RNA, 345 nt
Organism: Balaenoptera ricei (Rice's whale)
Lineage: Eukaryota; Metazoa; Chordata; Mammalia; Artiodactyla; Balaenopteridae
Exons: 2
Source: RefSeq, a predicted model, not a curated record
CCCCAGGUACCAGCUCCGCGCGCGCUUGCGCAGUGCCAGCCCUUGCGCCCACUCUCCACCUGACUCUCGUUUGAUUUGCCCAGUAACAGACGUCACUGUGCUCAGAGCAAAACAGAGGCUCAGAAAGGAGACAGCGGAAUAGAUAAAGAUGCAGGGGUCCGCUAGCCAAAGAAUGUAGGCAGCCCCUAGAAGCUGCAAAAAGCAAGGACACAGAUUCUUCUCUGGGACCUCCAGAAAGAGAAACAGCCCUACUGACAUCUUGAUUUUAAUCGCUUAAGACCCAUUGCAGACUUCUGACCUCCAGGAUAAUAAGGCAAUAAAUCUGUGUUGUUUUAAGCCACUAAA